ACAAAUGGUGAAAGCCUUGCAUAAUGCUGGAAUUGAGGUCAUUUUGGAUGUGGUCUAGAACCAUAAUAAUGAAGCUGAUGAUAAUCAUCCUUGUACCACUUCUUUUCAUGGCGUAGACAAUAAGGUUUAUUACAUGCUCGAUGUUGACAACAAUUCUCAAUUGCUUAAUUUCUCUGGAUGUGGUACUUCCAAUCAUUCCCUUCAAUUUGUCUAGCCUUUUCCAUCAAAGUUCUUUCUUAUGACAUCUUUUAAAGCCAACUC
Molecule: long non-coding RNA, 261 nt
Organism: Magnolia sinica
Lineage: Eukaryota; Viridiplantae; Streptophyta; Magnoliopsida; Magnoliales; Magnoliaceae
Exons: 3
Source: RefSeq, a predicted model, not a curated record